GACGAACGCUGGCGGCGUGCUUAACACAUGCAAGUCGAGCGGUAAGGCCCUUUCGGGGGUACACGAGCGGCGAACGGGUGAGUAACACGUGGGUGACCUGCCCUCAGCUCUGGGAUAAGCCUGGGAAACCGGGUCUAAUACUGGAUAUGACUCCAUGACGCAUGUUGUGGGGUGAAAGCCUUGUGCGGCUGAGGAUGGGGCCCCNCGGCCUAUCAGCUUGUUGGUGGGGUGANGGGCCUACCAAGGCGACGACGGGUAGCCGGCCCGAGAGGGCGACCGGCCACACUGGGACUGAGACACGGCCCAGACUCCUACGGGAGGCAGCGAGUGGGGAAUCUUGCGCAAUGGGCGAAAGCCUGACGCAGCGACGCCGCGUGAGGGAUGACGGCCU
Molecule: ribosomal RNA, 391 nt
Filed under: uncultured bacterium
Lineage: Bacteria
Description: bacterial SSU rRNA
Rfam family: Bacterial small subunit ribosomal RNA
Source: RNAcentral